CCGAUCACUGGGGACACCCUGAAAGAGACUGAGAAGGAGCAGCCAGGGUGUGGGAGGGAGCUGCAAGCGUGUGGCGUCUCAGCAACCAGGGUUGCAGGGCGUGGCCAACAGAACCACACCUGCUCAGAGUCCAGGUGGGUACAGAGGAUGCACGUGAAGCUCAUGCCCACACAGCGGCCUGCCCCCCUCCGCUCCCCCGUUCCUGAGCCACACAAGUUCCUUUGGCGGGACAGAGAAGCAUCAACACAGAAACAUCUGUAGAAAAUAAAGCUGGCUUUUCCACGGAUAUGGUGGAGGAGUUUCUGUGAGCACUGGGCUCCGUUGUGUCUCCACUCCAGCCUGUUUUCUCCAGCGGUGCCCCCCAGGCCAGGCCCACCCCUCGAGAAAUUCUGCACACUGAGCAGAUGGCACCAUGCUUUUCAGAGUGAGAGCUGGAACAGACCUUUGACGUGGUCCAGCCCGACUGAGUUGUUUUCUAGAUGAGAGACCUGAGCCCCAGAGCAGGGGGA
Molecule: long non-coding RNA, 509 nt
Organism: Artibeus jamaicensis (Jamaican fruit-eating bat)
Lineage: Eukaryota; Metazoa; Chordata; Mammalia; Chiroptera; Phyllostomidae
Exons: 3
Source: RefSeq, a predicted model, not a curated record